AGUGAACGCUGGCGGUAGGCCUAACACAUGCAAGUCGAACGGCAGCACAGUAAGAGCUUGCUCUUACGGGUGGCGAGUGGCGGACGGGUGCGGAAUACAUCGGAAUCUACUUUUUCGUGGGGGAUAACGUAGGGAAACUUACGCUAAUACCGCAUACGCCCUACGGGUGAAAGCAGGGGAUCUUCUGACCUUGCGCGAUUGAAUGAGCCGAUGUCGGAUUAGCUAGUUGGCGGGGUAAAGGCCCACCAAGGCGACGAUCCGUAGCUGGUCUGAGAGGAUGAUCAGCCACACUGGAACUGAGACACGGUCCAGACUCCUACGGGAGGCAGCAGUGGGGAAUAUUGGACAAUGGGCGCAAGCCUGAUCCAGCCAUACCGCGUGGGUGAAGAAGGCCUUCGGGUUGUAAAGCCCUUUUGUUGGGAAAGAAAAGCAGCAGGUUAAUACCCCGCUGUUCUGACGGUACCCAAAGAAUAAGCACCGGCUAACUUCGUG
This 492-nucleotide ribosomal RNA is filed under the name uncultured bacterium. RNAcentral describes it as "partial 16S ribosomal RNA". It matches the Rfam family "Bacterial small subunit ribosomal RNA", at positions 29 to 507 of the family's 1533-position model. The record is from RNAcentral.